RNAcentral lists this ribosomal RNA (440 nucleotides) under uncultured bacterium. Its description in RNAcentral is "bacterial SSU rRNA". It matches the Rfam family "Bacterial small subunit ribosomal RNA", at positions 338 to 795 of the family's 1533-position model. The record is from RNAcentral.
CCUACGGGGGGCUGCAGUGGGGAAUAUUGCACAAUGGGCGAAAGCCUGAUGCAGCAACGCCGCGUGAGCGAUGAAGGCCAUCGGGACGUAAAGCUCUGUCCUAAGGGAAGAAUACUGACGGUACCAUAGGAGGAAGCCCCGGCUAACUACGUGCGAGAGGCAGCGGUAAUACGUCGGGGGCUAGCGUUAUCCGGAAUUCCUUGGCUUAAAGGGUGCGUAGGCGGCCCUUCAAGUCAGAGGUGAAAGGCUCGGUCUCAACCGGAGUAAGCCUUUGAAAAUGUAGUGGUUGAGUGCAGGAGAGGAGAGUGGAAUUCCCAGUGUAGCGGUGAAAUUCGUAGAUAUGGGGAGGAACACCAGUUGCGAAGGCGGCUCUCUGGACUGUAACUGACGCGGAGGCACGAAAGCGUGAGGAGCGAACAGGAUUAGAUAUCCCAGUAGUC